RNAcentral lists this ribosomal RNA (500 nucleotides) under uncultured bacterium. RNAcentral's name for it is "partial 16S ribosomal RNA". It matches the Rfam family "Bacterial small subunit ribosomal RNA", at positions 28 to 507 of the family's 1533-position model. The record is from RNAcentral.
GACGAACGCUGGCGGCGUGCUUAACACAUGCAAGUCGAACGGGUCUGCCCUGUUUUUUGCGGGGUGGGUCAGUGGCGAACGGGUGAGUAACACGUGAGUAACCUGCCCCUCACUUCUGGAUAACCGCUUGAAAGGGUGGCUAAUACGGGGUGUUCUGGCUGUGCCGCAUGGUGUGGCUGGGAAAGAUUCACUUUUGUGGUGUUUUGGUGGGGGAUGGGCUCGCGGCCUAUCAGCUUGUUGGUGGGGUGAUGGCCUGCCAAGGCUGUGACGGGUAGCCGGCCUGAGAGGGUGGGCGGUCACACUGGGACUGAGAUACGGCCCAGACUCCGGCGGGAGGCAGCAGGGGGGGGUAUUGCACAAUGGGCGGAAGCCUGAUGCAGCGACGUCGCGUGAGGGAUGGAGGCCUUCGGGUUGUGAACCUCUUUCGCCGGUGAAGAAGGUCCUGCUCUUUGUGGUGGGGUUGACGGUAGCCGGGUUAUGAAGCGCCGGCUAACUACGUG